Small RNA from Caldithrix abyssi DSM 13497, 46 nucleotides. It matches the Rfam family "Acido-Lenti-1 RNA". The record is from Rfam. NCBI's taxonomy places the organism in Bacteria, Pseudomonadati, Calditrichota, Calditrichia, Calditrichales, Calditrichaceae.
CCCACCGUUGAAACGGCGGGCUAUUUUCAGCCAUCCCUACGGGAUU